RNAcentral lists this ribosomal RNA (500 nucleotides) under uncultured bacterium. RNAcentral's name for it is "partial 16S ribosomal RNA". It matches the Rfam family "Bacterial small subunit ribosomal RNA", at positions 30 to 523 of the family's 1533-position model. The record is from RNAcentral.
AUUGAACGCUGGCGGAAUGCUUUACACAUGCAAGUAGAACGGCAGCACGGACUUCGGUCUGGUGGCGAGUGGCGAACGGGUGAGUAAUGUAUCGGAACGUGCCCAGUCGUGGGGGAUAACGUAGUGAAAAUUACGCUAAUACCGCAUACGAUCUAUGGAUGAAAGCGGGGGAUCGCAAGACCUCGCGCGAUUGGAGCGGCCGAUAUCAGAUUAGGUAGUUGGUGGGGUAAAGGCCCACCAAGCCAACGAUCUGUAGCUGGUCUGAGAGGACGACCAGCCACACUGGAACUGAGACACGGUCCAGACUCCUACUGGUGGCAGCAGUGGGGAAUUUUGGACAAUGGGCGAAAGCCUGAUCCAGCCAUUCCGCGUGCAGGAUGAAGGCCCUCGGGUUGUAAACUGCUUUUGUACAGAACGAAAAGGUUUCUACUAAUACUAGGAGCUCAUGACGGUACUGUAAGAAUAAGCACCGGCUAACUACGUGCCAGCCGCCGCAGUAA